GUAGAGGACUUCUGCACUGUUGUUGCUAUUUCUCUCCUUUACUUUAAGGAGGCUGGAGGGGAAUGCCUUGAUGAGCAGAAGAAAAUGCUUAUUGGCCUAAAAGAUCAUUUAUCAGCGUUUGCAGAAAACCUGUGCAAAUUCGUGUGCUGCUGCAAGCAUCAUGCCUAGGAAAGGGGCUAGAGGAUGUAGGAGAAGAAAUGGAAGCUUGAAAAGAUCUGAAUUAUAGUGGAAAAUACAAAUGAAAUCUUACCUGAAAGGAAAAGGCAAGAAAUCACCCAAACUUUUUUAAGCAUCAAAGAAACUCUCAUCAAGUUCAGGCGUAAUCUGAAAGGCAAAAGGCAAUAUUGAUUGCCAUCUGCAAUAUGAUGGUGGUGUGCACAACUGAAAACCAGAAUCAAUUACCAUGCUGGUUUGCAACAGCUGACGCGGAGCUUCCAUUUCAAGUUUAGAGCAUACUGGAGUCACUGAAGUGCUCAAGUGACAGUGAGGAAAAUGGAGGUACAGAAUUCAGUUUCAAUGAAGGUAUCAGGAAUUCUUCAGUAAGGCAUCCAUAGAUGGCACACAAAAGAAAAAGAAAACUGUCUCACCGAGAUAGGAGUCUGAUGAAAAUAACCUCCCAGACACACAAACUGAAUGAAGAGGAUCUGAGCUCUACUUUUGGUUCAGAUACUGAAACCAUGCGGAGAAAAGUGCUAUACUUUUGGUUUUCCGUUUCUCCUUUGCCAUGUCCGUUUGGAGUGAUUUCCUCACUGAACAGAGGUCUGUCAGUGUGUCCAUGAUCAGGUUAUUGGUAUCCAGAUACAUAAACUGUGGCACAAGACUUCAAGUGAAAGAAGGGAGACUAUUCAAGUCUGACAAGACACAACAUUCUGGUUGCAUGUGGCCUGAAUAGAGCAACUUGAAAUCACUGUAAUUGGAAGUAUUUUGUUAGACUCUUGUGAGAUAAAGAAAUGUAAAAGGACAUUUUUAAUUAUAAACUUAAACUUUGUAUAUAUGAACUGCCCUUCUCUCGAGAAUGAUAAUUUCUGCAAAAGAAAAAAACAAAGCAAACCAAAAUAAAACAACAGCCAAAUGAAAGGGAAAAAAAUCCUAUAUGUCAUCU
This is a long non-coding RNA of Pogoniulus pusillus (Red-fronted tinkerbird), 1102 nucleotides long. RefSeq lists it as uncharacterized. The record is from RefSeq and is a predicted model, not a curated record. Lineage: Eukaryota; Metazoa; Chordata; Aves; Piciformes; Lybiidae. The transcript has 8 exons.